ACGAACGCUGGCGGCGUGCUUAACACAUGCAAGUCGAACGGUGAAGCGCCUUCCUUUUUGGUGGGUGUGGAUGAGUGGCGAACGGGUGAGUAACACGUGAGUAACCUGCCCCCUUCUUCUGGAUAACCGCAUGAAAGUGUGGCUAAUACGGGAUAUUCUGGGUCUGUCGCAUGAUGGGUCUGGGAAAGAUAUUGUUUCGGUGGGGGAUGGGCUCGCGGCCUAUCAGCUUGUUGGUGGGGUGAUGGCCUACCAAGGCGGUGACGGGUAGCCGGCCUGAGAGGGUGGACGGCCACACUGGGACUGAGACACGGACACGACUCCUACGGGAGGCAGCAGUGGGGAAUAUUGCACAAUGGGCGCAAGCCUGAUGCAGCGACGCCGCGGGAGGGAUGGAGGCCUUCGGGUUGUGAACCUCUUUCGCCAGUGAAGCAGGCCUGCCUCGUUUGUGGGUGGGUUGACGGUAGCUGGAUAAGAAGCGCCGGCUAACUACGUG
This 493-nucleotide ribosomal RNA is filed under the name uncultured bacterium. RNAcentral describes it as "partial 16S ribosomal RNA". It matches the Rfam family "Bacterial small subunit ribosomal RNA", at positions 29 to 507 of the family's 1533-position model. The record is from RNAcentral.